RNAcentral lists this ribosomal RNA (253 nucleotides) under uncultured bacterium. RNAcentral's name for it is "partial 16S ribosomal RNA". It matches the Rfam family "Bacterial small subunit ribosomal RNA", at positions 524 to 776 of the family's 1533-position model. The record is from RNAcentral.
GACGCACUGUCCAAACGUUGUUCGGAAUCACUGGGCUUAAAGGGCGCGUAGGCGGCCUUGAAAGUCGGGGGUGAAAUCCCACGGCCUAACCGUGGAAGUGCCUCCGAUACUGCAAGGCUCGAGGGAGGUAGGGGCAGCUGGAACUUCCGGUGGAGCGGUGAAAUGCGUUGAUAUCGGAAGGAACGCCGGUGGCGAAAGCGAGCUGCUGGACCUCUGCUGACGCUGAGGCGCGAAAGCCAGGGGAGCAAACGGG